RNAcentral lists this ribosomal RNA (492 nucleotides) under uncultured bacterium. RNAcentral describes it as "partial 16S ribosomal RNA". It matches the Rfam family "Bacterial small subunit ribosomal RNA", at positions 29 to 507 of the family's 1533-position model. The record is from RNAcentral.
AGUGAACGCUGGCGGUAGGCCUAACACAUGCAAGUCGAACGGCAGCACAGUAAGAGCUUGCUCUUACGGGUGGCGAGUGGCGGACGGGUGAGGAAUACAUCGGAAUCUACUUUUUCGUGGGGGAUAACGUAGGGAAACUUACGCUAAUACCGCAUACGACCUACGGGUGAAAGCAGGGGAUCUUCGGACCUUGCGCGAUUGAAUUAGCCGAUGUCGGAUUAGCUAGUUGGCGGGGUAAAGGCCCACCAAGGCGACGAUCCGUAGCUGGUCUGAGAGGAUGAUCAGCCACACUGGAACUGAGACACGGUCCAGACUCCUACGGGAGGCAGCAGUGGGGAAUAUUGGACAAUGGGCGCAAGCCUGAUCCAGCCAUACCGCGUGAGUGAAGAAGGCCUUCGGGUUGUAAAGCCCUUUUGUUGGGAAAGAAAAGCAGCAGGUUAAUACCCCGCUGUUCUGACGGUACCCAAAGAAUAAGCACCGGCUAACUUCGUG